This 87-nucleotide non-coding RNA is filed under the name Acidobacteriota bacterium. RNAcentral's name for it is "Acidobacteria bacterium c-di-GMP sequence". It matches the Rfam family "c-di-GMP-I riboswitch aptamer". From Rfam's summary of the family: GEMM was predicted in a large-scale screen for bacterial structured RNA regulatory elements. Genes associated with GEMM are involved in a diverse array of functions, including chemotaxis regulation, signal transduction, secretion and chitin. Lineage: Bacteria; Pseudomonadati; Acidobacteriota. The record is from RNAcentral.
CUCCGAUAAGGGCAAACCCCGGGAAACCGUGGGGCGCAAAGCUACGGAUCUACAGCGCGGAAGCGCCAAGACCGCCGAGCUACCGAA